UACGUAGGGGGCAAGCGUUGUCCGGAAUUAUUGGGCGUAAAGAGCGCGUAGGCGGUCCGAUAAGUCGGCUGUGAAAGUCAAGGGCUCAACCCUUGGAAGCCGGCCGAUACUGUCGGACUAGAGUCCGGAAGAGGCGAGUGGAAUUCCCGGUGUAGCGGUGAAAUGCGCAGAUAUCAGGAGGAACACCGAUGGCGAAGGCAGCUCGCUGGGACGGUACUGACGCUGAGGCGCGAAAGCGUGGGGAGCGAACAGGGAUAGAA
This 260-nucleotide ribosomal RNA is filed under the name uncultured bacterium. RNAcentral describes it as "partial 16S ribosomal RNA". It matches the Rfam family "Bacterial small subunit ribosomal RNA", at positions 524 to 783 of the family's 1533-position model. The record is from RNAcentral.